This 469-nucleotide ribosomal RNA is filed under the name uncultured bacterium. Its description in RNAcentral is "bacterial SSU rRNA". It matches the Rfam family "Bacterial small subunit ribosomal RNA", at positions 328 to 795 of the family's 1533-position model. The record is from RNAcentral.
UGGCCAGACUCCUACGGGAGGCAGCAGUGAGGAAUAUUGGUCAAUGGGCGGAAGCCUGAACCAGCCAAGUCGCGUGAGGGAAUAAGGCCCUACGGGUCGUAAACCUCUUUUGCCGGGGAGCAAGGGCCGGGACGCGUCCCGGCCCGGAGAGUACCCGGAGAAAAAGCAUCGGCUAACUCCGUGCCAGCAGCCGCGGUAAUACGGAGGAUGCGAGCGUUAUCCGGAUUUAUUGGGUUUAAAGGGUGCGUAGGCGGGAUGCCAAGUCAGCGGUAAAAAUGCGGUGCUCAACGCCGUCGAGCCGUUGAAACUGGCGUUCUUGAGUGGGCGAGAAGUAUGCGGAAUGCGUGGUGUAGCGGUGAAAUGCAUAGAUAUCACGCAGAACUCCGAUUGCGAAGGCAGCAUACCGGCGCCCUACUGACGCUGAGGCACGAAAGCGUGGGUAUCGAACAGGAUUAGAUACCCUGGUAAC